This is a long non-coding RNA of Cydia amplana, 302 nucleotides long. RefSeq lists it as uncharacterized. The record is from RefSeq and is a predicted model, not a curated record. The transcript is spliced from 2 exons. NCBI's taxonomy places the organism in Eukaryota, Metazoa, Arthropoda, Insecta, Lepidoptera, Tortricidae.
ACAGACAGACAGACAUGACGAAUCUAUAAGGGUUCCGUUUUUUGCCAUUUGGCUACGGAACCCUAAAAAAUGAUAUUAGAAACCUCAAUAUCAUUUUUGAAGACCUAUCCAUAGAUACCCCACACGUAUAGGUUUGAUGAAAAAAAAAUUGAGUUUCACGAUUUAUGACGUAUUAAAAAAAAACUACUUACUAGAUCUCGUUCAAACCAAUUUUCUGUGGAAGUUUACACGGUAAUGUACAUCAUAUAUUUUUUUAGUUUUAUCAUUCUGUUAUUUUAGAAGUUACAGGGGGGGGGGACACA